RNAcentral lists this long non-coding RNA (7883 nucleotides) under Zostera marina. RNAcentral describes it as "long non-coding RNA (ZMAR_LNC004674)". The record is from RNAcentral. Lineage: Eukaryota; Viridiplantae; Streptophyta; Magnoliopsida; Alismatales; Zosteraceae.
GGACAAAAAGGAAUAACACAUAGAUUCUCAUGUCCCUAUACACCUCAACAAAAUGGGAUUGUUGAGAGGAAACAUAGACACCUGCUUGAGACCAGCAGAUGUUUUUUUACUCAAUCCGGAAUUCCAAAAAAUAUGUGGCCAGAGGUCAUCUCUGCAGCAUGUUUUCUGAUAAAUAGGUUACCUAGUUCUGUUUUAGGGUUCAUAUCUCCCUUUGAGAUGUUAACCAAAAAUAAACCAGAUUAUAAAAUACUGAAAUUAUUUGGUUGUUCAUGUUAUCCCUUAAUAAAUAAAGGAUUAAGGAAUAAAUUUGAACCUACUGCCUAUAAAUGUGUCUUUAUAGGGUAUUCAAACAAACACAAAGGAUAUAUGUGUUUAAAGUUAGAAGAUAAUAAAGUCAUUAUAUCUCGAAAUGUCAAAUUUAAUGAAAAUGAGUAUCCUUUUUUAACUAAAACAGAUACUAAAACAGUAAAGAAGCCUGAAAAGCAAAUGAUAAUACUUCCAAGACUAGCUACUACAAUAAAUUUUGGCUUUCCUAUAAAUACAGGAAACUCAAACAGUGAGUUAAGGGUAGAACCAAAUUUGUCAAGUCAUGUAAGGAGAGUCACUCACAACAGAAUAACUCUACAAAUGACUCAAUGGAUAUAAUCUCAGAGUCAACUGAGAUAAGUAGCUCAGUACCCCAGACCAUGAGAGUUGAGUCUGAUAUGCAAUCUAACACUAGAAGUGAGACAAGACAACAAAGAGAUAUUUCUGAGAAUCAAACAAACACAGUUUGUAACUCAAUAUCACGAGAUAUAAGUAGUAGAUCUGAAGAACCAAUCAACAUAGGAGUUAGAUAUCCGACUAGAGAUAGAAAAGCACCAAAGUUUUUAGAAAACUAUGAGUGUAAUUCUUGCUCUGGCGAAGAGAUAGAACCAUCCACCUUCAGUGAGGCAAGUAAAGAACCUAAGUGGAAGGAGGCAAUGCAAGAGGAACUAGAUGCAUUGAAAGUUAACAAAACAUGGACUUUAGUACCAAAAAAUUCGUCAAUGAAUAUAGUAGGUUGUAAGUGGGUCUAUAAAAUUAAAAAGAACUCAGAUGAUUCAAUAGAANNNNNNNNNNNNNNNNNNNNNNNNNNNNNNNNNNNNNNNNNNNNNNNNNNNNNNNNNNNNNNNNNNNNNNNNNNNNNNNNNNNNNNNNNNNNNNNNNNNNUACAGUCCAGUAAUUAGGAUGAACACAGUAAGAUCAAUCAUUUCAAUUGCUGUGACAUAUAACUGGCAGCUAAGACAACUGGAUAUCAAAAAUGCCUUCCUAAAUGGCUUUCUAAACGAAACAGUAUACAUGAGACAACCAACUGGGUUUCAUAAUAAGAGUUAUCCAGAUCAUGUGUGUCUAUUACAUAAGGCUCUAUAUGGCUUAAAACAAGCACCCAGAGCUUGGUACUCAAGACUUCAAAAUUUUCUAGUUGAAAACGAAUUCAAAAAUAGUCUUACAGAUUCUUCAUUGUUCCUCAAAGUGAACAAUGGACAUAGAAUCUACAUACUAGUCUAUGUAGAUGAUAUUAUAAUUACUGGGGAUUCUAGUGAGGAAGUAAAUAGGUGCAUAGAAUUAAUAUGUAAACAAUUUUCAUGUAGAGACCUAGGGCUUCUUAACUAUUUUUUAGGAAUGGAAUGUAUAAGACAAGGGAAAACCAUAAUUCUAAGUCAAGAAAAAUAUGUGUCUGAUAUAUUGAAAAAAUUCAAUAUGAUGGAAUGCACACCAUGUAGGAUACCAAUGGUUCAAAAUCCAAGACUAAAUAAAAAUUCAGGGACUCCUAUAGAAAACAAUACAAUAUACAGAAACAUUGUAGGGUCCUUACAAUAUCUAACUAUGACUAGACCUGAUAUUGUCUUUUGUGUGAAUCAUCUUAGUCAGUUUCUACAAACACCAACUGAUGUACAUCUUAGUUUUGCUAAGAGGAUGCUAAGAUAUAUCAAGGGAUCUUCUAACCUAGGACUGAGAUUUACACCUUCAGUCAAACCAGUAAAUUCUUUGAUAGCCUACUGUGAUUCAGACUGGGCAAAUGAUACUGAUGAUAGGAGAUCAGUUUCUGGAUUCAGCAUCUGGUUUGCUGGAAAUUUGGUAGCCUGGGCAUCAAAGAAACAAGCAGUGGUAUCAAAAUCGAGUUGUGAGGCUGAAUACAGGGCACUAUCUGGGAUAACUUCAGAAGUUAAGUGGUUCUGUAAUUUGUUUAGGGAACUGGAGAUUAGGUUUGAGACAGCUCCACAAAUAUUAUGUGAUAAUAAAUCAGCAAUUUUUCUCACUAAAAAUCCAUCAUCAAACCUGAAAACUAGACAUAUAGAUAUCUCACACCAUUUUAUUAGAGAGCUGGUGAUGAAAGGGGCAAUAAAAGUGGAUUAUAUUGCUGCUAGUCAACAACUAGCAGAUGGUUUCACUAAAGUACUGGGAACAGGGCAAUUUAUGGUUCAUAGGGAUAGACAUAAACUAGUACCAACCAGUCCUGAUCCUAGAAUCAUAAUGAAGGACAAGAAUAGGCUAACAAAAUCGCAAGACAUAAGUAAACCAAAGCUAAUUAAGGAGGCUUAGGAGAAUGACUAUAUAAGGGAGACUAUAAUACUGGAUAUUAGUUUAGAUAUAUAAUAAUAAUAAUAAUAAUGAAAAUACUGAGGUGUUGUAUUUCUGAUUUCUGUUCUUAUAGUAAUACUUGUAUUCAUAUUAGGAAAUGUUAGAUAAAUAUGAUGUUGAAAAUUGCAGGGUGAUAAUCUGAAAUAUAUUCUAAAACUAUUUCUAGUUUUGGUUUGAUACAUAAUUUUGUCUGUUUGUUAAGGAAUGGUCUAUAUUUUUCUGUUUUUGGUUUGUGGGAAUGGCUACUGUGGAUGUAUGUUUGUGUGGUUGCAGGUCAUGCUAAGAUAGGUCAUGCCCAAAUAACUGGAAAUUUAAUCUGGAGCAGAAAAUGUGGAAUCUAGAGCAGCAGGAGCUUUGAGAAUGAGCAGCGAUUUUUUUUGUUUUGUUCUUUCUUUCAGGGUCUUAAUUGGUAUAACAGGAGGGUUUUCCCAGUAAAAAUGAAAGAAAGAGGAGCAAAAAUAAGAAUCCCAGCUGGGUUUUUCGCCCUACCUGUUAGCUCAAUUAAUUCAUAGCUGAGUUAGUUCACAAGACUACUAAGGAGGUGGACAGACAAGCUGAUGAUCAUACUCAUGUUCAAAUUCACAACUCAGGAUUGCAUUCUGGAGUUGUCAAUUUGCGGGGGAAUGUAAAGAGUUAAAAAUACUAUAAGGGGUUUUGUAUAAAUGUACCCAUAAUAUUAAGUAUAAGUAUAGGCUUUGUGUAAUGAUUAGUUAAGUUGAAUGUUAUAAUUCUUGAGUGUCAAUUAAAGAGUUUACUCUUUCUUCUUCUUGUUUUGACCUAACGACUUCAUUCUCCCCCUUUCUUCUAUCUUCUUCUUCUAUCAAUUUCUUGUUGAUGAUUCAGUGAAUGGAAACCUCUCCAGAUUUCUACAUGGUAUCUAGAGCUUUGUGAUUCGAUUGGGGCAUCUGGGCGUUAGGGCACGGCGAGCGCGGAAUCUUCUCAGCGUGAUUUCUUCUCGGCGUGAAUUGGAGCGGUUCCUGUUCUGUUCUUUUCUUUUCUUCCCGGCUACAGCGCGUGGUCUUUCUCUUCUCUUCUCGGCUGGCGUGGUCUUUCUUCUCGGCUGGCGUGGUCUUUCUUCUCGGCUGGCGUGGUCUUUCUCUUCUCUUCUCGGCGGCGUGAAUUUCUGGGUCUUUUCUUCUCGGCUGGCGUGGUCUUUCUUCGGCUACAGCGUGGUUCUUCUCGCCGAUUGAUUGCAAUCUGCGAUUGCAACUCUGGUUUGAAUUUUUUAUUUUUUAUUUAUUUCAUUUUUCUGUUAUCUGCAAUUGCAAGUUAUUGAACCAUUGAUUUCCAAAUUUUUUAAUUAGAUUCUGUUUGUGUUUGGAUUGAUCUGUAAGUCUGAAUUUGUUUGUGUUUGAUUUGCGUUAGAUUACGUGUUACAUUUGAUUUCAAUUUUUCAGAUUUUGUGUUCAUUGAUUUCAAUUUUUUUUUUAGAACCCAAAACGGUUGCUUGUGUCAUUGAUCCCUGGCAUUUUAUCGAUUUCUUCUAUUUCUCAUCUCGUUUUCGCCUCGUUGUUUCGUUGCUUGUUCCCCUAUAGUUUUAUUUGAUUUCGUUGGAAACUCCCUAUCAGUCUGCUAGUUUCUUUAAUCCUACUCGGUCGUUCUUUUCCAAUAGUUCAUUUGAGUGCGAUUAAAAUCUGUUUUGGGUUUACAGAUUACCUGUUAGUUUUGUUUGAGUUUACAAUAUUUUUUUUUUUUUAAUUUUCUCAUUUGAUUUAAUCUGUUUACAGAUUUGUUUUGCAUUUGAUUUCUGCGUUUUUAUCUGUUAGUAUUUUACUGAUAUUUUUUUUGCUGACAUCGAUUUGGUAUUUUCUUCUUCUUUAUUUGCCUGUUAGUAUUUGGUAUUUGGUAUUUUACUGUUAGUAUUCUUCUUCUUCUUAAAUUUUAGUUUUUUUUUUUUUUAUUUUUUUUUUUCUUUCUUUAAAUUUUGUCAUAGAUCUGUCGAUCUGUCAUCGAUCUGACAUUUUCUGUUUUUGGUUUAUGUUUUUUGUUGUUGUUGUUUGGUAAUUGAUUUCAUUGAUUUCAUCAAAUUUGUUGUUGUUUUUAGUUGUUUGUUUUUGCUGGUUAUUAAAUUUAAUUCUGAAUAAUUGCAUGCACAUAACUACAUUUUGUUUGCUUGUGUUGCAUACUAAUUAUAAAUUGUUUUUUUUUUGUUUUGUUGUUUUUGUUGUUUGGUAAUUGAUUUCAUUGAUUUCAUCAAAUUUGUUGUUGUUUUUAGUUGUUUGUUUUUGCUGGUUAUUAAAUUUAAUACUGAAUAAUUGCAUGCUAAAUCACAUAUGAAUUUAUCAGAUUGCAUGCUAAUAAAAAUAAUAAUAAUAAAUAAAUAAAAACAAAUAUCUGAUUGUGUAGUUUCUACCCACUUGAAAGUAGAUCAUAACUACAUUUUCUACUCAAUCGAUCGAUUGUGUAGUUUAUAGUUUGCUUGUAGUUGUAAAUUACAAUUGCCCAAGUGGUUAAUUGUUAUUUUGUUUGUGACGCAAGGAGCUGGUUUUUUUUUCUGGAUCUGCGAAUCAGCUUCUGUAAUCAUUGUUUUCUGUUGAGUGGCGAUUUCCAUCUUGAGCUAUGGCAGGAAUUGGAUCAAGUACAUCUGGUGCUGGAAGUGCAGCUGUGACAGCAAGGAUCGAAGUUCCUCAAAUGAUGUAUAGUAUUGCGUCACUCUGUCCCACACCUCUUUCAGAAGGGAAUUAUCUAGUAUGGAAAAAUCAAUUUGAAGGUGCAUUACAAAUACAUAAUUUGUUAGAUUUUAUUUCUGGAAAACUUGGGACUCCGGCUCUAAGAUUAAGUGAUGGCUCUGAAAAUCCGGCAUAUGCGUCUCACAAGAGGAACGAUGGCAUAGUGCUCAGUUGGAUUAAAGCCACGGUAUGUAAGGAAAUUCAGCCUCUACUUUUACCUUGUGUUACUGCAUAUGAGGCAUGGCAUAUUUUAGAAACAGAUAUUUCGCCUAUUGAUAAAAAUCAAAUUCAAACUCUUCGUGAUGAGUUGAAUUCACUAAGGAAGACAACAGAUAUUUCAAUGAAAGAAUAUAUUUUCAAGAUUAAGAGUUUGAAACACUCUCUAGCAGCAGCAGGAUAUUCAAUGUCUGAUGAAAGAGUGUCAGAGUAUGUUCUCAGAGGUCUUGGACCUGAAUUCCGUAUGUUUAGGACAUCUCUGAAUUUUCAGAAGGAUAUUACUUUUACAGAACUUGCAGAUGCUCUUAUUAAAGAAGAAAUUUUGAUGAAACAACUGGAUCAACCAACAACUGAAGGGGAUUAUCAGGUGCAUUAUUCCAAUUAUAAUAGGAAUAAUUUCAAUAGAAAUGCUAAAUUUUAUCCAGGGAAAGGCAAGAAUGGUGGUUCUUAUUAUAAACCAUCAUACAAAAAUCAAGGAACAAAGGUCAUAACUGUUCCUCCUCAAAUUGCUCGGAAUAAUUUGCCUCCCAUUCUGAAUCUACCAUCUUCACAGGACAACACAUCUACGUGUCAGAUUUGUGAGAAAAAAGGACAUCUGGCUAGAAAUUGCCCAGAUAGAGGUAAUUUUGCUGCCUAUGCCAUGGAGGAUGAUUAUGAUACUCAGAUAACUGGAAAUGAAGAAGAAGCAGCAGCAUAUUCUGUAACAGUCCAAGAUCUGGAUUGGUGUCUUGACUCAGGAGCUACUAAUCACAUGGUAGCUGAUGAAGCCUUGCUCCAUGACUGCCAGACCUAUACAGGUAUUGGGUGUGUUGUGAUUGGAUCUGGAGAUAGAUUAGUAAUUUCUAAAAUAGGAAAGUUAGACUUUGAAGUGCAUUCAAAGGUUUAUACACUUAAUAGAGUUUUAUGUGUGCCUAAGAUUAAGAAAAAUCUAAUUUCUGUGACUAAACUAUGUAGUGAUUUGAACUGUUAUAUACAGAUUUCACAGAAGGAAUUUUCAGUGAAGAGCCUGAAGAUGCAUCAGACGCUUUUUUCUGGAAUUAAUAAAAGAGGGCUAUACUAUUUCAGCCCGGACAUCAACUGUAAUUUGGGUAUCAAGAUCUCUUCAGAUACAUGGCACAAGAGACUAGGACAUCCUUCUCUCAAAAUCAUGAAUAAAAUAGGACAUGUAUUAGGAUUAAACAAUUCAGAUUUAAAAUCUUUAGAAUUUUGUAAUAACUGUCCUAUGGCAAAAAUGUCGAAAUUACCUUUUUCUUGUAAUGAAAUAAAAACUUCUUUUCCAUUGGAAAUAAUACAUAUAGAUCUAUGGGGUCCAGCCCCAAUUGUUUCAAUGAAAAAUUAUAAAUUUUUUGCAACAAUUGUAGAUAAUAAAACAAGGUAUACAUGGAUUAUACUAUUAAGGGCUAAAAGUGAUUUUACUGAUCAGUUUAUUCUAUUUCAGAAAAAUAUAGAAAACCAGUUAGGGCGAAAAAUUAAGAAAAUUUAUUCAGAUGAGGGUGGUGAAUUUCUUAGUACCAAGCUGAAAACUUGGCUAGGACAAAAAGGAAUAACACAUAGAUUCUCAUGUCCCUAUACACCUCAACAAAAUGGGAUCGUUGAGAGGAAACAUAGACACCUGCUUGAGACCAGCAGAUGUUUUUUUACUCAAUCAGGAAUUCCAAAAAAAUAUGUGGCCAGAGGUCAUCUCUGCAGCAUGUUUUCUGAUAAAUAGGUUACCUAGUUCUGUUUUAGGGUUCAUAUCUCCCUUUGAGAUGUUAACCAAAAAUAAACCAGAUUAUAAAAUACUGAAAUUAUUUGGUUGUUCAUGUUAUCCCUUAAUAAGUAAAGGAUUAAGGAAUAAAUUUGAACCUACUGCCUAUAAAUGUGUCUUUAUAGGGUAUUCAAACAAACACAAAGGAUAUAUGUGUUUAAAGUUAGAAGAUAAUAAAGUCAUUAUAUCUCGAAAUGUCAAAUUUAAUGAAAAUGAGUAUCCUUUUUUAACUAAAACAGAUACUAAAACAGUAAAGAAGCCUGAAAAGCAAAUGAUAAUACUUCCAAGACUAGCUACUACAAUAAAUUUUGGCUUUCCUAUAAAUACAGGAAACUCAAACAGUGAGUUAAGGGUAGAACCAGAGUCAAGUCCUGUAAGGAGAGUUACUCACUCACAACAGAACAACUCUAAAAAUGACUCAAUGGAUAUAAUCUCAGAGUCAACUGAGAUAAGUAGCUUAGUACCCCAGACCAUGCGAGUUGAGUCAGAUAUGCAAUCUAACACUAGAAGUGAGACAAGACAACAAAGAGAUAUUUCUGAGAAUCAAACAAACACAGUUUGUAACUCAAUAUCACGAGAUAUAAGUAGUAGAUCUGAAGAACCAAUCAACAUAGGAGUUAGAUAUCCGACUAGAGAUAGAAAAGCAC